GAUCCUAGUGAUGACAGACGACAUUGUCACCUGAUCCCCGUGUGGGAGUGAGGACAUGUCCUGCAAUUCUGAAUGGAUU
Molecule: small nucleolar RNA, 79 nt
Filed under: Echinops telfairi (small Madagascar hedgehog)
Lineage: Eukaryota; Metazoa; Chordata; Mammalia; Afrosoricida; Tenrecidae
Description: Small nucleolar RNA SNORD96 family (ENSETEG00000023191.1)
Rfam family: Small nucleolar RNA SNORD96 family
About the family: snoRNA Z37 is a member of the C/D class of snoRNA which contain the C (UGAUGA) and D (CUGA) box motifs. Z37 acts as a methylation guide for 5.8S ribosomal RNA.
Source: RNAcentral